RNAcentral lists this non-coding RNA (120 nucleotides) under Frankia sp. RNAcentral's name for it is "SAM-I sequence". It matches the Rfam family "SAM riboswitch aptamer (S box leader)". From Rfam's summary of the family: The SAM riboswitch is found upstream of a number of genes which code for proteins involved in methionine or cysteine biosynthesis in Gram-positive bacteria. Lineage: Bacteria; Bacillati; Actinomycetota; Actinomycetes; Frankiales; Frankiaceae. The record is from RNAcentral.
GGCUCAUCCAGAGGGGCAGAGGGAACGGCCCAGCGAAGCCCCGGCAACCACCGACGCGAUCCUGCGCGGCAGGUGCUAAUUCCGACCCGGGACGCAGCCGGCGCCCGGGAAAGAUGAGGA